Molecule: unclassified non-coding RNA, 337 nt
Filed under: Hevea brasiliensis (rubber tree)
Lineage: Eukaryota; Viridiplantae; Streptophyta; Magnoliopsida; Malpighiales; Euphorbiaceae
Source: RNAcentral
GUGAGUUGGAUAUUGAUUAUUUUUAUAAUUUCAAUAUUAAUUAUAUAUCUGGCAUGCUCAUGUAUUGUAUAAAUAUUUAAUUAUGUACACAAAUAGGUAAUAUAUUAGGGGCAUUUUGGUUGUUGCAUGUUUAAUUGCUGUUAUUUGUUUAUGAUUGCCACCUUGAGGAUAAUUUGGAGCUGGGUGUGUCAUUUAUAUAUGGUAUAUAUGGAUAUGGAUUAGACGAGUAGUUGCAGCUUGAGCUAGCCUUGUUGGAACCCAGUCUUUAUGGACAUGGAAAGUCAGGCCGAGGCAUAAGUUUGAGUUAAUCUUGCUGGCCUCCGCACUUAGAUUUAAG